RNAcentral lists this long non-coding RNA (342 nucleotides) under Coturnix japonica (Japanese quail). RNAcentral's name for it is "lncRNA (ENSCJPG00005006776.1)". Lineage: Eukaryota; Metazoa; Chordata; Aves; Galliformes; Phasianidae. The record is from RNAcentral.
AUAUCUUUUAUUUUCCUUCUGAUUUGCUUGUAUUAUUUUCACUUUGUCUACAGUUUUACCUGCCACACAAUGUCUGUCUUCACCACAUAAUGAGAUCAAAUAGUCAUAGCUCUGGUCUGGAUUAAAUCCUAGAUCUUAAUCACAUUCAUCCAUUCAUGGACUUACAGAUCAUCUAAAUGAGGAACUCAGGGCACUCAGCAGACAAAUCCUUAGCAAGCCAAUACAGAUAUUUUUAAGUCCUACCUAAUGUCUGAAAAACUGAAUAUGGACACUGAAAAUGCAUCACCCACAAUGAAACUGUGCUACUUUGAGCUCUUGCACUGCAGAGAAGAGAGGUAUUAA